Molecule: microRNA precursor, 103 nt
Filed under: Marmota monax (woodchuck)
Lineage: Eukaryota; Metazoa; Chordata; Mammalia; Rodentia; Sciuridae
Source: RNAcentral
AGUAGGAUAGCUGGGUCAAAUGGUGGUUCCAUUCCAAGUUUUCUGAGGAAUCUCCACACAGCUUUCCAAAGUGGUUGCACCAGUGUGCAGUCCUACCAGCAAU